CUUCCAGUAGCACCUUAGAGACCAACUAAGUUUGUUAUUGGUAUAAGCUUUCAUGUGCAUGCAGACUUCUUCAGAUAUCAAUAACAAACUUAGUUGGUCUCUAAAGUGCAACUGGAAG
Non-coding RNA from Podarcis lilfordi (Lilford's wall lizard), 118 nucleotides. Lineage: Eukaryota; Metazoa; Chordata; Lepidosauria; Squamata; Lacertidae. The record is from the annotation of a GenBank genome assembly.